UGGGGAAUUUUGGGCAAUGGGCGAAAGCCUGACCCAGCAACGCCGCGUGAAGGAUGAAGUAUUUCGGUAUGUAAACUUCGAAAGAAUAGGAAGAAUAAAUGACGGUACUAUUUAUAAGGUCCGGCUAACUACGUGCCAGCAGCCGCGGUAAUACGUAGGGACCAAGCGUUGUUCGGAUUUACUGGGCGUAAAGCGCGUGUAGGCGGGUCGUUAAGUUGGGGGUGAAAUCCCGAGGCUCAACCUCGGAACUGCCUUCAAAACUGGCGACCUGGACUCAAGCAGAGGCAAGUGGAAUUGCGAGUGUAGAGGUGAAAUUCGUAGAUAUUCGCAGGAACACCAGUGGCGAAGGCGACUUGCUGGGCUUGUAGUGACGCUGAGACGCGAAAGCGUGGGGAGCAAACAGGAUUAGAUACCCAGGUAGUCCCUGAGCGGGCUGGCAAGGCGCAU
This 447-nucleotide ribosomal RNA is filed under the name uncultured bacterium. Its description in RNAcentral is "bacterial SSU rRNA". It matches the Rfam family "Bacterial small subunit ribosomal RNA", at positions 355 to 825 of the family's 1533-position model. The record is from RNAcentral.